Molecule: ribosomal RNA, 292 nt
Filed under: Nicoletiinae sp. Biologic-ZYGE015
Lineage: Eukaryota; Metazoa; Arthropoda; Insecta; Zygentoma; Nicoletiidae
Description: partial small subunit ribosomal RNA
Source: RNAcentral
AGGUAUUAAAUGAUGUUCAUGAAACCUAGAGAAUUUGGCGGUGCUUUAGUCUUUUUAGAGGAACCUGUCCUAUAAUCGAUAAUCCACGUUGUUAUUACCCGUUUUGGUUAUAUAGUUUGUAUAUCGCCGUCAGAAGGAAAUUUCUUGAGAAUGAUAAUUUUUUUAAUAUUGGGGGAUAAGAUGACAGGUCAGGGUGCAGCUGAUGGAUGGGGAGGAGAUGGGUUACAAUGCGAAAUAUGUAAAUGGAUUCUCCUGCAGUUAGGGGAUGAAGGUGGAUUUAAGAGUAAUUUUU